Mytilus californianus (California mussel) is the source of this 434-nucleotide long non-coding RNA. RefSeq lists it as uncharacterized. NCBI's taxonomy places the organism in Eukaryota, Metazoa, Mollusca, Bivalvia, Mytilida, Mytilidae. The record is from RefSeq and is a predicted model, not a curated record. The transcript has 2 exons.
UAUUGUCUGGAAACUAGAAAAAUGUGUUUUUUGGCCCCAAAUUACUAAACGUUUAGGGCAAUUACCCCCAAACUCAAACCCAGCUUUCCCUUUGUGAUAUGGAACCUUGUAGUACAAUUUCAGAACGAUCCAUACACUUACACACAAGUUAUUGUCCUGAAACUAGAAAAAUGCUUGUUUUUGGCCCCUUUUUGGCCCCCAAUUCCUAAACGUUUCGGCAAUUGCCCCCAAACUCAAUUCCAGCUUUCCCUUUGUGAUAUGGAACCUUGUAGUACAAUUUCAGAAAGAUCCAUACACUUACACACAAGUAAUUGUCAUGAAACUAGAAAAAUGCUUGUUUUUUGCCCCAUUUUUUGCCCCUAAUUCCUAAAAUUUUGAGGCAAUUACCCCCAAAAUCAAUCCCAGCAUUCCCUUUGUGAUAUGGAACCUUGUGG